This 639-nucleotide ribosomal RNA is filed under the name Lioplax pilsbyri. RNAcentral's name for it is "partial large subunit ribosomal RNA". It matches the Rfam family "Bacterial large subunit ribosomal RNA", at positions 1819 to 2816 of the family's 2925-position model. Lineage: Eukaryota; Metazoa; Mollusca; Gastropoda; Architaenioglossa; Viviparidae. The record is from RNAcentral.
GUCUUUUUGGUGGAAUUAUAUAAAAAGUCUGACCUGCCCGGUGAAUUUAUUAAACGGCCGCGGUACCUUGACCGUGCAAAGGUAGCAUAAUCGAUUGUCUUAUAAUUGGAGACUGGAAUGAAUGGUUUAACGAAAUUAAAGCUGUCUUAUCUGUAUUUUUUAGAAAUUGGCUUUUAGAUGAAGAGAUUUAGAUUUUAUUAGAGGACAAGAAGACCCUAUUGAGCUUAAAAUAAGUUUUUGGAUAUUAUUAUUAUAAAGAUUAAAGUCUAAUAUACUUUUUAGUUGGGGCGACUAAGGAAUAAUUAAAGCUUCCUUAAAGUAGGAAAUUAAUAUAUUUUGAGCCAGUAGGACUGAUUUAUAGAUAUAGUUACCAUAGGGAUAACAGCAUAAUCUUUUUUGAGAGUUCUAAUCGAAAAAAGGGGUUGUGACCUCGAUGUUGGACUAAAAUAUCCUAGAAAUGCAGCAGUUUUUAAGGGUUGGUCUGUUCGACCAUUAAAAUUUUACAUGAUCUGAGUUCAGACCGGCGUAAGCCAGGUCAGUUUCUAUCCUUAAUUAGCGUCUGAUUUUAGUACGAAAGGAUUAAAUUAGAAAAAGUUGUUUGAUAAGUUGAAUUUAUAUAAUUUUUAGGUUAAGUAUAUU